GACGAACGCUGGCGGCGUGCCUAAUACAUGCAAGUCGAGCGCAGGAAACUGACGGAACUCUUCGGAGGGAAGGCAGCGGAAUGAGCGGCGGACGGGUGAGUAACACGUAAGGAACCUGCCUCAAGGAUUGGGAUAACUCCGAGAAAUCGGAGCUAAUACCGGAUAGUUCAUCGGACCGCAUGGUCCGUUGAUGAAAGGCGCUCCGGCGUCACCUUGAGAUGGCCUUGCGGUGCAUUAGCUAGUUGGUGGGGUAACGGCCCACCAAGGCGACGAAACAUAGGCGACCUGGGAGGGUGAUCGGCCACACUGGGACUGAGACACGGCCCAGACUCCUACGGGAGGCAGCAGUAGGGAAUCUUCCACAAUGGACGAAAGUCUGAUGGAGCAACGCCGCGUGAGUGAUGAAGGUUUUCGGAUCGUAAAACUCUGUUGUAAGGGAAGAACACGUACGAGAGGAAAUGCUCGUACCUUGACGGUACCUUACGAGAAAGCCACGGCUAACUACGUGCCAGCAGCCGCCGUAA
RNAcentral lists this ribosomal RNA (524 nucleotides) under uncultured bacterium. Its description in RNAcentral is "partial 16S ribosomal RNA". It matches the Rfam family "Bacterial small subunit ribosomal RNA", at positions 28 to 523 of the family's 1533-position model. The record is from RNAcentral.